AGAACCAGGUAGGAGAUGCUCCUGAGGAGUCUUCCUGCUGCCAGGUCAAGGCUAAAUGCUAGGACAAUGGAGGAAGGACUUGCAGAGGCUAUUGAUGAGGGGAGAAUUGGGCCUCGGGAUGAUUCCAAGGUACAUGAACCAUACAGGAAGGGAAAACCCAAAUGGGAAACAAGUAUUCUUUGCCACCACAACCAGGCGCGACGUUGGUGGCGAC
This is a long non-coding RNA of Cynara cardunculus var. scolymus (artichoke), 214 nucleotides long. RefSeq lists it as uncharacterized. The transcript has 3 exons. The record is from RefSeq and is a predicted model, not a curated record. Lineage: Eukaryota; Viridiplantae; Streptophyta; Magnoliopsida; Asterales; Asteraceae.